AAAAAAAGAAAAAGAAAAAAGAAAGAGGCCUGAUUUGAACAGAUCACACACUAUUACCAAGAGUUCAUUUUUAAUUUCACCAAAUAUAUGGUCAGAAAAGUAUUUAGAAGCCAACUAUUUUAUAUCUCGCCAUUAUUGUGUUCAUAAAAGCAACCCCAAGCACAUAGAGAAGGGGGAGGCAUUGCACUAUAAACUGGUUGCAUAUACUACCAGACAAAAUUGAAGUCCAAACACUACCUAGAGCAAUUUCAAUAUCGGAAAGUUGCUUAUAUACAUGGGCGGAGCCAGCUGGAGCUAAGGGGAGGGGCAUUGAGCCCUCCUGAAAUUUUAAAAUUUUUUAAGGACUUGAUAGUAAUUUAAAAAAAAAGUUUAUUCUUACUUUAAAUUUUGAUGAGUAUGAGAACUUGAGAAUUUCAAAAAUUUUAAGUGAGUUUAAUAGUAAUUU
RNAcentral lists this unclassified non-coding RNA (445 nucleotides) under Hevea brasiliensis (rubber tree). The record is from RNAcentral. Lineage: Eukaryota; Viridiplantae; Streptophyta; Magnoliopsida; Malpighiales; Euphorbiaceae.